UACGUAGGUGGCAAGCGUUGUCCGGAUUUAUUGGGUUUAAAGGGUGCGUAGGCGGCUUUGUAAGUCAGUGGUGAAAUAUGGCAGCUUAACUGUCAGGGUGCCAUUGAUACUGCAGAGCUUGAGUACAGAUGAGGUAGGCGGAAUUGACGGUGUAGCGGUGAAAUGCUUAGAGAUCGUCAAGAACACCUAUAGCGAAGGCAGCUUACUAGGCUGUAACUGACGCUGAGGCACGAAAGUGUGGGGAUCAAACAGG
RNAcentral lists this ribosomal RNA (253 nucleotides) under uncultured bacterium. Its description in RNAcentral is "partial 16S ribosomal RNA". It matches the Rfam family "Bacterial small subunit ribosomal RNA", at positions 524 to 776 of the family's 1533-position model. The record is from RNAcentral.